RNAcentral lists this unclassified non-coding RNA (285 nucleotides) under Hevea brasiliensis (rubber tree). The record is from RNAcentral. Lineage: Eukaryota; Viridiplantae; Streptophyta; Magnoliopsida; Malpighiales; Euphorbiaceae.
AUUAAAUCUGGAAUAUUUGUUUUUAGAUUCUUGGCAGAGCACAAACACGCCACGAAAUUACCUUGUCACUGGCAAAUUAGAAGAACAAGCACGCCAAUAAACUUUCGGAGAGUAGCCAAUUCAAUGAUCUAUGCUAAUAAUAAAAUCUCAUUUUUCAGUAUCGUCUAAGCAAAUAAUAUUCUGUAUCAUCUAGCUAGCCCUAAAUUAAUGUGAAAAUAACUGUAGUGUUCCAUCCACUUCUUAUCCAGUUAGCCUUCAACAUCUUGAGCAUUUCUCCUAAAGAUC